Molecule: ribosomal RNA, 253 nt
Filed under: uncultured bacterium
Lineage: Bacteria
Description: partial 16S ribosomal RNA
Rfam family: Bacterial small subunit ribosomal RNA
Source: RNAcentral
UACGUAGGUGGCAAGCGUUGUUCGGAAUUAUUGGGCGUAAAGGGCGCGUAGGCGGUUUGUUAAGUCAGCUGUGAAAGCCCGGGGCUCAACCCCGGAGAGUCGGCUGAUACUGGCAAACUUGAGUACGGAAGAGGUAGCUGGAAUUCCCGGUGUAGCGGUUAAAUGCGUAGAUAUCGGGAGGAACACCUGAGGCGAAGGCGGGCUACUGGGCUGAUACUGACGCUGAGGCGCGAAAGCUAGGGGAGCAAACAGG